This is a non-coding RNA of Rattus norvegicus (Norway rat), 69 nucleotides long. The record is from Rfam. Lineage: Eukaryota; Metazoa; Chordata; Mammalia; Rodentia; Muridae.
GGGGAUUUAGCUUAGUGGUAGAGCACUUGCCUAGGAAGCGCAAGGCCCUGGGUUCGGUCCCCAGCUCCA